AGUGAACGCUGGCGGUAGGCCUAACACAUGCAAGUCGAACGGCAGCACAGUAAGAGCUUGCUCUUACGGGUGGCGAGUGGCGGACGGGUGAGGAAUGCAUCGGAAUCUACUUUUUCGUGGGGGAUAACGUAGGGAAACUUACGCUAAUACCGCAUACGACCUACGGGUGAAAGCAGGGGAUCUUCGGACCUUGCGCGAUUGAAUGAGCCGAUGUCGGAUUAGCUAGUUGGCGGGGUAAAGGCCCACCAAGGCGACGAUCCGUAGCUGGUCUGAGAGGAUGAUCAGCCACACUGGACCUGAGACACGGUCCAGACCACUCCGGUAGGCAGCAGUGGGGAAUAUUGGACAACGGGAGCAAGCCUGACCCAGCCAUACCGCGUGGGUGAAGAAGGCCUUCGGUUUGUAUAGCCCUUUUGUUGGGAAAGAAAAGCAGCAGGUUAACACCCCGCUGUUCUGACGGUACCCAAAGAAUAAGCACCGGCUAACUUCGUG
RNAcentral lists this ribosomal RNA (492 nucleotides) under uncultured bacterium. RNAcentral's name for it is "partial 16S ribosomal RNA". It matches the Rfam family "Bacterial small subunit ribosomal RNA", at positions 29 to 507 of the family's 1533-position model. The record is from RNAcentral.